UUGAAAAACUAUUUGGUUUUUUGUUCCAUCCCAUUGUUUUAUUCACCCUGUUGCUUCCACUGGUAUGAGUUUCCUAUGCCUUAUGUGUAGGAGCUUUUGGCUGUGUAGUGAUUUUUAUCAUGCAUGCCAGCCAGUGGGAAGAUCAUUUACAAAAAUUUGUUGAGAACCACUUUGUCUGAAUAUUUUGCUCCAAUGAAAUA
RNAcentral lists this unclassified non-coding RNA (200 nucleotides) under uncultured fungus. Its description in RNAcentral is "sequence contains ITS1, 5.8S rRNA gene". RNAcentral also lists the same sequence under 1 other name. The record is from RNAcentral. Lineage: Eukaryota; Fungi.